GGCAGCCUUGUUGGUUUGGGCCUCUC
This 26-nucleotide non-coding RNA is filed under the name Mus musculus (house mouse). Lineage: Eukaryota; Metazoa; Chordata; Mammalia; Rodentia; Muridae. The record is from RNAcentral.